Transfer RNA from Buchnera aphidicola (Cinara tujafilina), 72 nucleotides. It matches the Rfam family "tRNA". From Rfam's summary of the family: Transfer RNA (tRNA) molecules are approximately 80 nucleotides in length. Their secondary structure includes four short double-helical elements and three loops (D, anti-codon, and T loops). The record is from Rfam. NCBI's taxonomy places the organism in Bacteria, Pseudomonadati, Pseudomonadota, Gammaproteobacteria, Enterobacterales, Erwiniaceae.
UGGGGUAUAGCCAAGAGGUUAAGGCAUCGGUUUUUGAUACCGACAUCCCUGGUUCGAAUCCAGGUACCCCAG